This 373-nucleotide ribosomal RNA is filed under the name uncultured organism. RNAcentral describes it as "bacterial SSU rRNA". It matches the Rfam family "Bacterial small subunit ribosomal RNA", at positions 524 to 896 of the family's 1533-position model. The record is from RNAcentral.
CGAGGGGGUGACAAACGUUGUUCGGAAUUACUGGGCGUAAAGCGCGUGUAGGCUGCUCGGAAAGUCGGGUGUGAAAGCCCUGGGCUCAACCUAGGAAGUGCACUCGAAACUUCCGAGCUGAGAUCUGGAGAGGAAGGCGGAAUUCUCGGUGUAGAGGUGAAAUUCGUAGAUAUCGAGAGGAACACCGGUGGCGAAGGCGGCCUUCUGGACAGCAUCUGACGCUGAGACGCGAAAGCGUGGGGAGCAAACAGGAUUAGAUACCCUGGUAGUCCACGCCGUAAACGAUGGGUGCUAGGUGUCGCGGGCUUUGACCCCUGCGGUGCCGCAGCUAACGCAUUAAGCACCCCGCCUGGGGAGUACGGCCGCAAGGCUA